Molecule: long non-coding RNA, 169 nt
Organism: Seriola dumerili (greater amberjack)
Lineage: Eukaryota; Metazoa; Chordata; Actinopteri; Carangiformes; Carangidae
Exons: 3
Source: RefSeq, a predicted model, not a curated record
GGUGGAAGAUGGGACUCAACAGAUCAUGGGAAUGGCAACCCUUUUAAAUGCCCCUCUACAUGCUUCUCAACAACAGGAUAAGGUCAGCUUUGAUACUGAAGAAAACCUUGUGGAGAAAACAGUGAUGUUUUCUACAGAUGAAGCAUUCAUGGACAUGACCCACAGUCAC